RNAcentral lists this small nuclear RNA (101 nucleotides) under Jaculus jaculus (lesser Egyptian jerboa). Lineage: Eukaryota; Metazoa; Chordata; Mammalia; Rodentia; Dipodidae. The record is from RNAcentral.
UUGCUUCAGGAGCACAUGUGCUAACGUUGGAGUGAAACAGAAGAUCAGCAUGGCUCCUGUGCAGGGGUGACACACACAGUUAGGAAGCACUGCUUGUUAAA